RNAcentral lists this ribosomal RNA (494 nucleotides) under uncultured bacterium. RNAcentral describes it as "partial 16S ribosomal RNA". It matches the Rfam family "Bacterial small subunit ribosomal RNA", at positions 28 to 507 of the family's 1533-position model. The record is from RNAcentral.
GAUGAACGCUGGCGGCGUGCCUAAUACAUGCAAGUCGAGCGAACGGACGAGAAGCUUGCUUCUCUGAUGUUAGCGGCGGACGGGUGAGUAACACGUGGAUAACCUACCUAUAAGACUGGGAUAACUUCGGGAAACCGGAGCUAAUACCGGAUAAUAUUUUGAACCGCAUGGUUCAAAAGUGAAAGACGGUCUUGCUGUCACUUAUAGAUGGAUCCGCGCUGCAUUAGCUAGUUGGUAAGGUAACGGCUUACCAAGGCAACGAUGCAUAGCCGACCUGAGAGGGUGAUCGGCCACACUGGAACUGAGACACGGUCCAGACUCCUACGGGAGGCAGCAGUAGGGAAUCUUCCGCAAUGGGCGAAAGCCUGACGGAGCAACGCCGCGUGAGUGAUGAAGGUCUUCGGAUCGUAAAACUCUGUUAUUAGAGAACAUAUGUGUAAGUAACUGUGCACAUCUUGACGGUACCUAAUCAGAAAGCCACGGCUAACUACGUG